This 458-nucleotide ribosomal RNA is filed under the name uncultured bacterium. Its description in RNAcentral is "partial 16S ribosomal RNA". It matches the Rfam family "Bacterial small subunit ribosomal RNA", at positions 338 to 795 of the family's 1533-position model. The record is from RNAcentral.
CCUACGGGGGCUGCAGUGAGGAAUAUUGGUCAAUGGGCGCGAGCCUGAACCAGCCAAGUAGCGUGAAGGAUGACUGCCCUACGGGUUGUAAACUUCUUUUAUAAAGGAAUAAAGUGAGGCACGUGUGCCUUUUUGUAUGUACUUUAUGAAUAAGGAUCGGCUAACUCCGUGCCAGCAGCCGCGGUAAUACGGAGGAUGCGAGCGUUAUCCGGAUUUAUUGGGUUUAAAGGGUGCGUAGGCGGGCAUUUAAGCCGGCGGUCAAAUGUCGGGGCUCAACCCCGGCCUGCCGUCGGAACUGGCAGUCUUGAGUACAGUUGAGGUAGGCGGAAUUCGUGGUGUAGCGGUGAAAUGCUUAGAUAUCACGCAGAACUCCGAUUGCGAAGGCAGCAUACCGGCGCCCAACUGACGCUGAAGCACGAAAGCGUGGGUAUCGAACAGGAUUAGAUACCCUUGUAGUC